UGGUUUGGAGGUGUCAAGGUUUGGAAGUUUGAAGGUUUGAUGGUUUGAAGGUAAGAAAGUUUGAAGGUUUGAAGGUGAGAGAGUUUGAAGGUUUGAUGGUUUGAAGGUAAGAACGUUUGAAGGGUUGAUCAAUCAAUUCAAUCAAUCAAUCAAUCAAUCAAUUUUAUUUAUAAAGCCCAAUAUCACAAAUCACAAUUUGCCUCACAAUUUGCCUUGAUGGUUUGAAGGUGAGAAAGUUUGAAGGUUUGAUGGUUUGAAGGUGAGAAAGUUUGAAGGUUUGAUGGUUUGAAGGUGAGAAAGUGUGAAGGUUUGAUGGUUUGGAGGUGAGAAAGUUUGAAGGUUUGGAGGUUUGGGGAUUUGAAGGUGAGAAAGUUUGAAGGUUUGAUGGUUUGAAGGUGAGAAAGUUUGAAGGUUUGAUGGAUUGAAGGUGAGAAAGUUUGAAGGUUUGAUGGUUUGAAGGUGAGAAAGUUUGAAGGUUUAAAGGUUUGAUGGUGAGAAAGUUUGAAGGUUUGAUGGUUUGGAGGUGUCAAGGUUUGGAGGUUUGAAGGUGAGAAAGUUUGAAGGUUUGAUGGUUUGGAGGUUUGAAGGUUUGAAGGUGAGAAAGUUUGAAGGUUUGAUGGUUUGAAGGUGAGAAAGUUUGAAGGUUUGAUGGUUUGAAGGUGAGAAAGUGUGAAGGCUUGAUGUUUUGGAGGUGAGAAAGUUUGAAGGUUUGAUGGUUUGAAGGUGAGAAAGUUUGAAGGUUUGAUGGUUUGAAGGUGAGAAAGUUCGAAGGUUUAAAGGUUUGAUGGUGAGAAAGUUUGAAGGUGAGAAAGUUUGAAGGUUUGAUGGUUUGAAGGUUUGAUGGUUUGGAGGUGUCAAGGUUUGGAGGUUUGAAGGUGAGAAAGUUUGAAGGUUUGAUGGUUUGGAGGUUUGAAGGUUUGAAGGUGAGAAAGUUUGAAGGUUUGAUGGUUUGAA
This is a long non-coding RNA of Epinephelus moara (kelp grouper), 954 nucleotides long. RefSeq lists it as uncharacterized. Lineage: Eukaryota; Metazoa; Chordata; Actinopteri; Perciformes; Serranidae. The transcript is spliced from 3 exons. The record is from RefSeq and is a predicted model, not a curated record.